Molecule: long non-coding RNA, 523 nt
Filed under: Phoenix dactylifera (date palm)
Lineage: Eukaryota; Viridiplantae; Streptophyta; Magnoliopsida; Arecales; Arecaceae
Description: long non-coding RNA (PDAC_LNC021865)
Source: RNAcentral
CUUAUUGAUGUUUAAUUGAUGGGAUGGCAUUGUUCCAAAUAGCCUUUUCUUCUUUCCACCCAGUUAUUUUUAAAAAACUAUAAAUAAACUAUAAAUACAUUCUACAGUAAACACCCUUUAAUGCAGAAUUUUUAAUACAAGUAUCCAAAUUUGUUUUACCUUUUAGGGCUGGUGUGGCAUUUAAUUUCUAAUCGCAAUAAAGGACAAAUUAAAUGUCUUAUGAAUUAAGUUGAUGAAAGUCUAAACACAUACAAAUAGAUAACUCCUUGAUCUUCGGGUUGCUAGACUGCAAUGUUAAUAGAUAGCAUUCAAAAUUAAAAGAAAGCACCCGUAUGCAACGUUCACCAAAUCGAUACCGGAGGGUGUAUCAGCCAGCGACUGGUUUGGCAUGAUCAAGGUAUGUACCAUGCCAUUCGGGGCGUAUUAAAAUAGGGAGAGCCAGAGAGGAAGGGGGAGAGGAAAACGAGGAGAGGGAAAGAGAGGAAAAAGAGAGAGAGAGAGGAGCGAGAGGGAGACAGACAAG